Molecule: long non-coding RNA, 743 nt
Filed under: Vigna radiata
Lineage: Eukaryota; Viridiplantae; Streptophyta; Magnoliopsida; Fabales; Fabaceae
Description: long non-coding RNA (VRAD_LNC016504)
Source: RNAcentral
UUUAAUCUUUUCAAUUCAUGACUCUAUUCCUUCACUAUCCAUUUAGAUUCAUUCCUUCAUUGUAUCAUUUAAUUUAGCUGAAGUCAGUUAGCAUUUAGAUUUUCUUUAGCAUUUACUUUUGUGAAUAUAUUUUGGAUUGUUCCAGUUUUAGUAUAUAGGUUUUUUUUUUUAACUUCUUUUAUUUAAAUAGGUUUUGUUUUUAAUUUGAUUAUUUACCUUUUAAAUUUCAAUUUCAUUUUCUUUUUACUGUCCCCACCUAGUAUUAGUAGUUAAUAAUUAGUAAAUAAAAACAAGAUCUUAACCAUACAUUUUAAACUUAACUGCGCCGAGUCCAUAGAUUGAUAUUCUGGUUACCCUAUGCUACAUUAGUGGGGACCGGUUCUUUGUUCUGCCUUGGGCGACUAAAAGGCAAUUUCACAAAUGGCGCCGUUGCCGGGGACUUGGCAAGUUAAGUCUUAGAGUGUUAGGUUAGUCUUAUUUAGGUUUGUUUCUUGAUUAUACUUCUAUUUUAUGUUAAUAUCUGUUUCUUUAUAGUGUAGGAUUUGUUUCUUAAGCUGUAACAGUGUAAAUAUUCAUUCUUUGUGUUGUUUUAGUCAUUGAAUUUUAAUUCUGGAAGUUGUCCUGGUUUUAUUUUUCUUGUUUCUUUGUGCUUGAUUGGCACUUUUACUGAGAAGGUUUAGGCUGAGUGUGUUCUGCCAAACCUUGGGGAAUUAGUGAAAUUUGUUUGGGAUAGUUUUAGUGGC